CUGCUGCCUUCCGUAGGAGUUUGGGCCGUGUCUCGGUCCCAAUGUGGCCGUCCACCCUCUCAGGCCGGCUACUGAUCGCUGCCUUGGUGGGCCGUUACCCCGCCAACUAGCUAAUCAGACGCGGAUCCAUCGUAUACCACCGGAGUUUUUCACACUGCCCCAUGCGGAGCCGUGCGCUUAUGCGGUAUUAGCACCUAUUUCUAAGUGUUAUCCCCCGGUAUACGGCAGGUUAUCCACGCGUUACUCACCCGUCCGCCACUAACU
Molecule: ribosomal RNA, 264 nt
Filed under: uncultured bacterium
Lineage: Bacteria
Description: partial 16S ribosomal RNA
Source: RNAcentral